AAGUCGUAACAAGGUUUCCGUAGGUGAACCUGCGGAAGGAUCAUUAAUGUAACCGGACCGGUCCUUUGCCGUAAAAAGCAACGGAUUGGAAAGGGAGAUAUUAUACACCCUGUGUUUAUUUACCUUUGUUGCUUUGGCGGGCCGUCCUUUUAGGCGUCGGCCCCGGCUGAUCGCGCCCGCCAGAGGACCUAAACUCUUUUAUCAGUGAUGUCUGAGUAUUAUAUAAUAGUUAAAACUUUCAACAACGGAUCUCUUGGUUCUGGCAUCGAUGAAGAACGCAGCGAAAUGCGAUAAGUAAUGUGAAUUGCAGAAUUCAGUGAAUCAUCGAAUCUUUGAACGCACAUUGCGCCCGCUGGUAUUCCGGCGGGCAUGCCUGUUCGAGCGUCAUUAUAACCAAUCAAGCUCUGCUUGGUCUUGGGGCCCGCUGUACCGGCGGCCCUUAAAACCAGUGGCGGUGCCGUCUGGCUCUAAGCGUAGUAAUACUUCUCGCUACAGGGUCCAGUCGUCCACCGGUCAGAACUCCCCAACUUUCUUAGGUUGACCUCGGAUCAGGUAGGGAUACCCGCUGAACUUAAGCAUAUCAAUAAGCGGAGGAAAAGAAACCAACAGGGAUUGCCUCAGUAACGGCGAGUGAAGCGGCAACAGCUCAAAUUUGAAAUCUGCCUCUAGGCCGAGUUGUAAUUUGUAGAAGAUGCUUCGGGUGUGGCACCGGUCUAAGUUCCUUGGAACAGGACGUCAUAGAGGGUGAGAAUCCCGUACGUGACUGGCUGCCUUCGCCCAUGUGAAGCUCUUUCGACGAGUCGAGUUGUUUGGGAAUGCAGCUCAAAAUGGGUGGUAUAUUUCAUCUAAAGCUAAAUAUUGGCCAGAGACCGAUAGCGCACAAGUAGAGUGAUCGAAAGAUGAAAAGCACUUUGGAAAGAGAGUUAAACAGUACGUGAAAUUGUUGAAAGGGAAGCGCUUGCAACCAGACUUGCGCGCCGUCGAUCAUCCGAGGUUUUCCCCGGUGCACUCGGCGGUGCUCAGGCCAGCAUCGGUUUCGGUGGUUAGAUAAAGGCCUUGGGAAUGUGGCUCCUCCGGGAGUGUUAUAGCCCCGGUGCAAUGUAGCCUACCGGGACCGAGGACCGCGCUUCGGCUAGGAUGCUGGCGUAAUGGUUGUAAGCGACC
Molecule: ribosomal RNA, 1164 nt
Filed under: uncultured fungus
Lineage: Eukaryota; Fungi
Description: eukaryotic LSU rRNA
Rfam family: Eukaryotic large subunit ribosomal RNA (bases 539-1164)
Source: RNAcentral